RNAcentral lists this ribosomal RNA (736 nucleotides) under uncultured bacterium. RNAcentral's name for it is "bacterial SSU rRNA". It matches the Rfam family "Bacterial small subunit ribosomal RNA", at positions 8 to 760 of the family's 1533-position model. The record is from RNAcentral.
AGAGUUUGAUCCUGGCUCAGGACGAACGCUGGCGGCGUGCUUAACACAUGCAAGUCGAACGAUGAACCACUUCGGUGGGGAUUAGUGGCGAACGGGUGAGUAACACGUGGGCAAUCUGCCCUGCACUCUGGGACAAGCCCUGGAAACGGGGUCUAAUACCGGAUACUGAUCGCCUUGGGCAUCCUUGGUGAUCGAAAGCUCCGGCGGUGCAGGAUGAGCCCGCGGCCUAUCAGCUUGUUGGUGAGGUAAUGGCUCACCAAGGCGACGACGGGUAGCCGGCCUGAGAGGGCGACCGGCCACACUGGGACUGAGACACGGCCCAGACUCCUACGGGAGGCAGCAGUGGGGAAUAUUGCACAAUGGGCGAAAGCCUGAUGCAGCGACGCCGCGUGAGGGAUGACGGCCUUCGGGUUGUAAACCUCUUUCAGCAGGGAAGAAGCGAAAGUGACGGUACCUGCAGAAGAAGCGCCGGCUAACUACGUGCCAGCAGCCGCGGUAAUACGUAGGGCGCGAGCGUUGUCCGGAAUUAUUGGGCGUAAAGAGCUCGUAGGCGGCUUGUCGCGUCGGUUGUGAAAGCCCGGGGCUUAACCCCGGGUCUGCAGUCGAUACGGGCAGGCUAGAGUUCGGUAGGGGAGAUCGGAAUUCCUGGUGUAGCGGUGAAAUGCGCAGAUAUCAGGAGGAACACCGGUGGCGAAGGCGGAUCUCUGGGCCGAUACUGACGCUGAGGAGCGAAAGC